Molecule: RNA transcript, 1745 nt
Organism: Juglans regia (Persian walnut)
Lineage: Eukaryota; Viridiplantae; Streptophyta; Magnoliopsida; Fagales; Juglandaceae
Exons: 4
Source: RefSeq, a predicted model, not a curated record
AGCCCAAGGUGUUCUUCAAUUUUCUGAGAAGCUCUCAUCAAAUCGUUCCUUCACUCCUCGAUCGCAUCUCUCUGUCUUUCUCUCUAGUUCUGCCAUGGACGACCUUCCCGUAGAGAAGAUAGCAAUAUCGGGCCCAACCUUAGCCUCCCUGAUGCAACGGUUUUCCUCCUCAACAGGUCCCAUCGACGGUCUCCUCUUCGGCCACGUGUCCUUCCUCACACCCUCAACCCUCUCCGACGACUCCACCACCACCUCCUCCUCCUCCUCCUCAGAAACCCUAAUCGCUACCGUCACCUCCUUCCUCUCCUCCUCCUCCACUUCCCUCUCCUUCUACUCCCCCUCUGGCCGUGUCAACCCUUCUCACCUCGCCCCCUCCUCCUCUUCCUCCCUCCUUGGCUGGUUCUCUGCUCGCCGCAAAUCUCCUCUCCGUCCCUCCAUGCGCGAAUUCUCCGUCUCCGAAUCUCUCUCCUCUCUGCCCAACCUUUCCUUCCCCAUCCUCAACUCCUCCUCCUCCCUCUCCCCUUGCAUUUUCCUCCUCCUCACCACUCCGAUCCCUGACCAAGCCAUACACACUCACGAGUACCGUGCGUACCAAUUCCGCGCCUCCACUGAAUCCUUCGACCCCAAGUCCGUCGACAUCGUCAAUAUCGGCCCCGCGUUCCGUGGCCACUAUGGCGCUUUUAGCCCUAACUCCAACUUUCCAUCAUUGGCCUGCGAGUUGAGGAGUUCAGCCAUGGUUGAGGACAAGAAGGAGGAGGAAGAGAGCUCGAGUCGGGUUAAGCAGGCGGCCGAGGACCAGAGGCAUCUCGAUCAGUGUGCCGAAGGGUUCGAGAUCGGGAGAUUGAGUCUCAUGAUCGGUUCCGAGGCCACCAAUUAUACGACCGGGUUGGAGGAUUUGUACGAGAAGAUGCUCGCCAAGAUCGAGAACUUGGCGAGGGAAGUGGAGUUGAGCUCUGCUAAGGUUUUUGAGCAGGAAAAUCACAAUAGGAAGUUGAGGCAGAAAGCUGCUCGGUACGCUGGAUCAGAGUAACUUCCAUAGCCCUGGCGUCUAUUUUUAUUAUUCUAUACGAGGCCUGUCACUAUGUUUUUCGGAUACAAAAAGUUUUAAUAUCGUGCUGCUACAUAGAUGAUCUAGUCAAAAUGCCAGUGUUUUAGGUUCUGGAUUAAGGGAUUAUCAUCUUGAUUGAGCAGUUCUCCGGUUGUGAAAAGACAUCUAAAACAGAUAUUGUUGUGUAGUCCAUAAGCACCACUUAAUCUGGAAAACUGAAUGAUUAUAUCUUGAAGCGUACUGGUAAGAGAUCCUGGAACUGCUAGCAAGACGCCCCGCAGUUUGAUCUGAGGGUGACAUUUGAGCUGAAGAUGGCUGAUAACCACGGAACCACAGUUUUAUAUGUCAUUUUGUUGUGGUUUAUGGUUGUUUUUAUGACGAAGGAUGGCAUAAUUUUGCCUAUAUCGUCAAGUCAUGUGUGUUAUCCUUGCUUUGUUCGUCUUUUGCUGUUGAAAUUCCUUUCUUUUUUUGUUUUUUGUUUUUUAUAUAAUUUCCGAAAUUCGUUCUGGUUUUAUCUGCUUGCUUUUUAACUGCCAAAAGAAUAUCUCUUAGCCAGCCCAUGUUGUAGAGGAUUAGAGUUGUCAUUCAACCUUGGCCUGCUUGAUUUAAUGUCUUAAUGGUUUCGAGGAAUUUUUGGUGCUCGCAUGUUCGAGAUUUCUAGCUCCCAAACAUAAAUAUAGGAAAUAUUGUUGACGGU